AGUGAACGCUGGCGGUAGGCCUAACACAUGCAAGUCGAACGGCAGCACAGUAAGAGCUUGCUCUUACGGGUGGCGAGUGGCGGACGGGUGAGGAAUACAUCGGAAUCUACUUUUUCGUGGGGGAUAACGUAGGGAAACUUACGCUAAUACCGCUUACGACCUACGGGUGAAAGCAUGGGAUCUUCGGACCUUGCGCGAUUGAAUGAGCCGAUGUCGGAUUAGCUAGUUGGCGGGGUAAAGGCCCACCAAGGCGACGAUCCGUAGCUGGUCUGAGAGGAUGAUCAGCCACACUGGAACUGAGACACGGUCCAGACUCCUACGGGAGGCAGCAGUGGGGAAUAUUGGACAAUGGGCGCAAGCCUGAUCCAGCCAUACCGCGUGGGUGAAGAAGGCCUUCGGGUUGUAAAGCCCUUUUGUUGGGAAAGAAAAGCAGCAGGUUAAUACCCCGCUGUUCUGACGGUACCCAAAGAAUAAGCACCGGCUAACUUCGUG
Molecule: ribosomal RNA, 492 nt
Filed under: uncultured bacterium
Lineage: Bacteria
Description: partial 16S ribosomal RNA
Rfam family: Bacterial small subunit ribosomal RNA
Source: RNAcentral